Molecule: non-coding RNA, 21 nt
Filed under: Caenorhabditis elegans
Lineage: Eukaryota; Metazoa; Nematoda; Chromadorea; Rhabditida; Rhabditidae
Source: RNAcentral
UUAUGAAAAAGGCCUGCGCUU